UACGUAGGGUCCGAGCGUUGUCCGGAGUUACUGGGCGUAAAGCGCGCGCAGGCGGCGACGCCAGCCCGGCGUGAAAGCCCCCGGCUCAACCGGGGAGGGUCGUCGGGGACGACGUCGCUUGAGGACGGCAGGGGCCGGUGGAAUGCCCGGUGUAGUGGUGAAAUGCGUAGAGAUCGGGCAGAACACCCGUGGCGAAGGCGGCCGGCUGGGCCGAUCCUGACGCUGAGGCGCGAAGGCGUGGGGAGCGAACGGGAUUAGAUACCCCGGUAGUCCACGCAGUAAACGAUGCCGACUAGGCGUGGGGGGACUUGACCCCCUCCGUGCCGGAGCCAACGCGGGAAGUCGGCCGCCUGGGGAGUACGGCCGCAAGGCUAAA
Molecule: ribosomal RNA, 376 nt
Filed under: uncultured bacterium
Lineage: Bacteria
Description: bacterial SSU rRNA
Rfam family: Bacterial small subunit ribosomal RNA
Source: RNAcentral